Molecule: unclassified non-coding RNA, 314 nt
Filed under: plant metagenome
Description: partial contains 5.8S ribosomal RNA, internal transcribed spacer 2, and large subunit ribosomal RNA
Rfam family: 5.8S ribosomal RNA (bases 1-105)
Source: RNAcentral
GAAAUGCGAUAAUUAAUGUGAAUUUCAGAAUUCAGUGAAUCAUCGAGUCUUUGAACGCAGAUUGCGCCCCCUGGUAUUCCGGGGGGCAUGCCUGUCCGAGCGUCAUUGCUGCCCUCAAGCACGGCUUGUGUGUUGGGCUUCCGUCCCUGGCAACGGGGACGGGCCCAAAAGGCAGUGGCGGCACCAUGUCUGGUCCUCGAGCGUAUGGGGCUUUGUCACCCGCUCCCGUAGGUCCAGCUGGCAGCUAGCCUCGCAACCAAUCUUUUUAACCAGGUUGACCUCGGAUCAGGUAGGGAUACCCGCUGAACUUAAGC